Molecule: ribosomal RNA, 251 nt
Filed under: Pleosporales sp.
Lineage: Eukaryota; Fungi; Ascomycota; Dothideomycetes; Pleosporales
Description: partial small subunit ribosomal RNA
Rfam family: Eukaryotic small subunit ribosomal RNA
Source: RNAcentral
AACGCGCGGAAAGGAGUGGGCUGCAUUAUUGCGGCUUAAGGUACGUGCUAAACCCUUGGGAAACCAAGCUCGCAGGAUUAGACCCGAUAUGUCGAAGUCUGCGAGGGCCGAGAGGCUGGAUCCGGAGCCCGAUGGGUGUCCCGGAAGUGCUGUGAUGCCCUUAGAUGUUCUGGGCUGCACGCGCGCUACACUGACAGAGCCAACGAGUUUUUCUCCUUGACCGAAAGGUCUGGGUAAUCUUGUGAAACUCU